Molecule: ribosomal RNA, 1497 nt
Filed under: uncultured bacterium
Lineage: Bacteria
Description: 16S ribosomal RNA
Rfam family: Bacterial small subunit ribosomal RNA
Source: RNAcentral
GUUUGAUUCUGGCUCAGGAUGAACGCUGGCGGCAUGCCUAAUACAUGCAAGUCGAACGGAGUGAAGCCUUCGGGUUUCAUUCAGUGGCGAACGGGUGAGUAAUACGCAGGGAACCUGGCCAUGGCAGGGGGAUACACUCUGGAAACGGAGCAUAAGACCCCAUAGGCAGUAAGGCGGCAUCGCCUUGCUGUUAAAGAAAGCUGAAAGGCUUUGGCGAUGGAUGGACCUGCGGUGCAUUAGCUUGUUGGUGAGGCAACGGCUUACCAAGGCGAUGAUGCAUAGCCGGCCUGAGAGGGCGGACGGCCACACUGGGACUGAGACACGGCCCAGACUCCUGCGGGAGGCAGCAGUAGGGAAUUUUCGUCAAUGGGCGCAAGCCUGAACGAGCAAUGCCGCGUGAGUGAGGAAGGUCUUCGGACUGUAAAGCUCUGUUGCCGGGGAAAAAGGGGAAAUGCAGGAAAUGGCAUUUCAUGGAUGGUACCCGGCCAGAAAGCCACGGCUAACUACGUGCCAGCAGCCGCGGUAAUACGUAGGUGGCGAGCGUUAUCCGGAAUGAUUGGGCGUAAAGGGUGCGCAGGCGGUCUGUUAAGUCUGAAGGCAAAGGGAUGAGCUCAACUCAUUUAUGAUUCAGAAACUGGCAGACUUGAGGACAGGAGAGGGCGGUGGAACUCCAUGUGUAGCGGUAAAAUGCGCAGAGAUAUGGAAGAACACCAGUGGCGAAGGCGGCCGCCUGGCCUGUGACUGACGCUGAGGCACGAAAGCGUGGGGAGCAAAUAGGAUUAGAUACCCUAGUAGUCCACGCCGUAAACGAUGAGGAGCAGGUGUUGGGAGUGAAAUCUCAGUGCCGAAGCCAACGCAGUGACUCCUCCGCCUGGGGAGUAUGCACGCAAGUGUGAAACUCAAAGGAAUUGACGGGGGCCCGCACAAGCGGUGGAGUAUGUGGUUUAAUUCGAAGCAACGCGAAGAACCUUACCAGGUUUUGACAUCGGAUGCGAAGGCGCAGAGAUGCGCUGGAGGCUAUCAUCCAGACAGGUGGUGCAUGGUUGUCGUCAGCUCGUGUCGUGAGAUGUUCAGUUAAGUCUGGCAACGAGCGCAACCCCCGUGGUAUGUUACUAACGCAUUUGGGCGAGGACUCAUAUCAGACUGCCGGUGACAAACCGGAGGAAGGCGGGGAUGACGUCAAAUCAUCAUGCCCCUUAUGGCCUGGGCUACACACGUACUACAAUGGCGUCUACAGAGGGAAGCGACCCUGAGAAGGGAAGCGAAACCGGAAAAGGGCGUCCCAGUUCGGAUUGAAGUCUGCAACCCGACUUCAUGAAGAUGGAAUCGCUAGUAAUCGCGGAUCAGCAUGCCGCGGUGAAUACGUUCCCGGGCCUUGUACACACCGCCCGUCAAACCAUGGAAGCCGGCAACGCCCGAAGCCGGUGGCAUAACCUUUUAGGAGUGAGCCGUCGAAGGCGGGGCCGAUGACUGGGGUUAAGUCGUAACAAGGUAGCC